ACCUGCAGCCAAAACUUUAUUCAAAAAUCAAUUGUCGAUCUCCAUCACGCAAAAAACGACGUCGUUAGGAAAAUAUGUCCUGGCUUGCUCGUUCCAUUGCCAAUUCUCUCCGCCUCGAUGACGACGGAGAUUUGGCGGCGGCGGCGGAGGAGGAGGAAAGGACCCCGGACGACGUCGUUCCACGACCCACCGCAAACGACGCCGCCGCGUCGCCGGAAGAUCUGCCGCGAGACGACAACAGCACGCUCUCUGCCGAAGAUCGUCGGUCGUCGUCGGAGGAUAGUGAUGGCGAUUUAGGUUACAAUCGUGGCGGCGAUGAUGGAGAUCUCGACGGUGAUGACAAUCAAGGGCGUGGGGUGAAGGAGGAUUUAUCUGAAUUCAGAGACAGCCUCACGCGCCAACUUUGGGGCGUUGCUUCUUUCCUCGCUCCUCCUCCGCCGCCGCCGCCGCCACCGCCGCUCCCGUUCAGUCAGAAAUCGGCUUCGUUGCCCUCGGAAAAAUUAUCCGGUGGGGCCGGGUCGCCCAAUGAUGACGAGGAGGAGAAUGAAGAAUUGGUGGAGUAUGAAGAGGGAGAGUCUGGUCAAUUUGAGGAGCCUGCAUAUGAGGAUUAUUACACAAAUUUAAUCGAGGACGCAAUUGGAAUUACGGAGGAAGUUUUGGCCUUCGCAAGGAAUAUUGCACAUCAUCCCGAAACCUGGUUGGAUUUCCCUUUAUCAGAGGAAGAGGAAUUUGAUGAUUUCGAUAUAUCUGAUUCCCAGUACAAGCAUGCGAUGGCUGUUGAACAUCUAGCACCAAGGUUAGCCGCUCUUAGAAUUGAACUUUGCCCAGUUCAUAUGAGUGAGUGCUACUUUUGGAUGGUCUAUUUUGUCCUUCUGCAUUCAAGGUUAAAUAAACACGAUGCCGACCUCUUGUCUUCGCCGCAGAUUGUGGAAGCAAGGGCUAUGUGGAUGCAUGAGCUACAAAAACAGAAUAAGGAGUCAUCGUACUGGUUAGGAAUGAAUACUUUUUACUCCAAAGAAAGCGGAUAUUCACCACGAGAGAACACGCAUUCUCACGAAGACUCCCGUUUUGGAAGUGCGUCGCACCAAACGGCAGCUGUAUACGAGAUCGAUAAGCACUCGUGUAACGAAGUUGAGUUUGUUGACAAGUCGGUUAUCAAGGAAGACCCAUCGCCCAAUUUCCACGAGAAGGAAAUUAUCGUUGUUUCUUCUUCUUCUUCUUCUUCUUCUUCUUCUUCUUCGUCUUCUUCUUCUUCCAUUGAAACACCUAUGCAAGAAAAUAAUAAUGAUAACAAAGAUGAAGAUGACGAUGAAGAUGACUGGCUAAAGGAAGAUUCGGAUUUAGUCGGUUAUUGCAGCACCACAAUUAUAGAAAACGAAGAAGAUAUAUCGUUUAGUGAUCUUGAGGAUGAUUCAGAUUGCACAGUGCCCAUUAAAUACAAAUUAGCCUCAACCGAAGGAAAUACAACCGCCAAAACUUCAUCGUGAGUUUCAUGUCGUUUUUCUGCCAGGGGGGGGAAGAAUUACUCUACGGACUGGUCCGUGGAAUGGACUAUGUGCCAGCAGCCCGUCUUAGAUUUGCCAGAUUUACUAUUGAAGCCCAGAAAAGCCAUUGUGGAGGAACACUUUUUGUUCCUCGUCUUUUUAUUUUUUUCCCCUUUCGGUUUUUUGCUAUAGCUUUGAGCCAAUAACUUGGCUUAGCUGUGCAAAUAUCUCCCUAUCAUUGUUAGUGAUUUCUUACUACAUUGGUUUUUUUUAUUUUGAUGUUGUGAGGUCACAGCUUCAUCUUCACUAGGGAGGAAAAAGCUGAAAUGUAAUACUUUUAAUGUAUAUAUGACAAGAAAAUAUGAAAUAUCAUGUUGUUUGUUGAUUCAGUUUGUAUAUGUAUAUAUAUAGUGAA
Erythranthe guttata (spotted monkey flower) is the source of this 1899-nucleotide RNA transcript. RefSeq lists it as hypothetical. Lineage: Eukaryota; Viridiplantae; Streptophyta; Magnoliopsida; Lamiales; Phrymaceae. The record is from RefSeq and is a predicted model, not a curated record.